Molecule: ribosomal RNA, 253 nt
Filed under: uncultured bacterium
Lineage: Bacteria
Description: partial 16S ribosomal RNA
Rfam family: Bacterial small subunit ribosomal RNA
Source: RNAcentral
UACAGAGACUGCAAACGUUAUUCGGAAUCACUGGGCUUAAAGGGCGCGUAGGCGGGUCGGAUAGUCUGCGGUGAAAUACUUCAGCUUAACUGGAGAACUGCCGUGGAUACUGCCAAUCUCGAGGAGGGUAGGGGCAUCUGGAACAGCCGGUGGAGCGGUGAAAUGCGUUGAUAUCGGCUGGAACUCCGGUGGCGAAGGCGAGAUGCUGGACCCUUUCUGACGCUGAGGCGCGAAAGCCAGGGGAGCGAACGGG